CUAAUCCAGUGUUUUUUUUUUGUUGUUGUUGUUUUUUAUGGUUGUAUAUCGCCAUACUUCACUACAGAUACAAGGUUUGUUCAGCUUCUCCUACCUGUUUCUCCUAACUAUAAUGAAGCUCAAUCAGCAGCUCAAAUGUGGUGCUUUGUUUCCAGUGACCGUGGCGUAUUCAUUUGUUGGAGAGGCUGGUAGCUACAGCGCUGACAAUCUAUAUGGUCUUAUCCAAAGGAGUGAUCAUCCUCCAUGGAUUUCAGACGGUUAAAGCAAAGGCUGGUGAUGCAGUCACAAGUGGCUCUGUGAUGUUCCAGUUGUCUGUCAGCGUUGAUUAUGGCUCCAGCAGUGCAGAUUCUGGUCUACAGCGUUCUUCCCAGUGAGAAUGUAGUUGCUGCUAGUGUGCCGUUUGACACUGAUAUGUAUUUCCAGAACCAGGUGUCUCUGCAGUUUUCUCCGGCUACGGCGGUUCCUGUGGAGGGAAAUGUUCUGACGGUUUCUGCUCAAGCAGGAUCUCUGCGUGGUAGAUCAGAGCAUCCGGAUCAUGGAGCCAGGAAGACGUCUGAGUGCUGAGAGGCUGUCUGUGUGCCUCAAUCAGGUUUUUUGUUUGGGCUUUUAAUCUGGAUAUUUCAGUGUGUGGCACUUCUGAUUAGAAUGCCACUUCAGUUUAUCCCAGUGUCUGAAGUACAGACAGAAGUUUUAUCACAACUUCAGUGUAGGUAUGUCUGUUAGUUUGAUUUUUGCUCUAGAAAUUGGUACAUGGCUUAAAGAUAAAAUGGAAAAAUGUAGUCUUGUGUUGUGAUCUUUUAAUAUGACGGCCGGAAAGACGGACGUCCGUCCGUCCGUGCGUUUUUGCGUGCGUUUUUUCCGUGCGUGCGUUUGUCCGUCCGAUCCUUCACAAAGACCCAGGCACCGCAGAAUGGAGUAGCCAUGGAGUGAAGAGUCCCAACACUAGUCUCCCAAGUUUUUG
Molecule: non-coding RNA, 961 nt
Organism: Pimephales promelas (fathead minnow)
Lineage: Eukaryota; Metazoa; Chordata; Actinopteri; Cypriniformes; Leuciscidae
Source: RefSeq, a predicted model, not a curated record